This 268-nucleotide long non-coding RNA is filed under the name Theobroma cacao (cacao). Its description in RNAcentral is "long non-coding RNA (TCAC_LNC001470)". Lineage: Eukaryota; Viridiplantae; Streptophyta; Magnoliopsida; Malvales; Malvaceae. The record is from RNAcentral.
AACAAUUGACAAGACAUUAAAACACAAAUAACAAAUUAAAAAAAAGCACAACUUGUACUGACAAAGGAGAUAAGCACUAAAAUAAUCCUUCAAUUAACAAUAAGCCUAACAAAUAUCAAUCAUCAUUUUGUCUAGAUGCUUGCCAUUCAUUAAACAUUUGAUUUGCUAAUUCCAUUUUCAAAUUACUCCAAAUAUCAGUAAGAUCAAUAGUACUUAUAAAAUCCUCCUCAACUAUUAUGUUGGUUUGAAUAUAUUCCCCUAUAUCAAC